CCCUUGUGGAGGAGGACGCCGAAGGUGGGGCUAAUGACUGGGGUGAAGUCGUAACAAGGUAGCCGUACCGGAAGGUGCGGCUGGAUCACCUCCUAACAGGGAGACAACAAAAUGUUUAAUAUUAUUAUUUUGUCACCUUAGGUCGAUCGGUAUCUCACGUUCUUAAUUAAUUAAGAAUUUCAUUUCCUAAGUUUUUCUAGGUCACACCCAUUAUUUUCCUGGGCCAUUAGCUCAGGUGGUUAGAGCGCACCCCUGAUAAGGGUGAGGUCCCUGGUUCAAGUCCAGGAUGGCCCAUAUCUCUAUGUUGGGGGUAUAGCUCAGUUGGUAGAGCGCCUGCUUUGCAAGCAGGAUGUCAGCGGUUCGAGUCCGCUUACCUCCACUGAUUACCACCUCUUCCAUAAUCUGUAGAAAGGAAAAUUUUUGAGUUGUGAUCACAAUUCUGAACGAAUCUAGCUUCCUAAUGAAACCAUUAAGAUGCUGGACUCAUUGAAUUAAUUUCAUUGUUUUCAGAGAACCUUGACAACUGCAUAGAUUAUUUUUAAAGACAAUAAGCAUCUUUAAUGAUGCAGAUUUAUUAUUUGUGCAAAUGCAUUAAUAACAAUUCUAUUAAGCUGAUGCUUCAAUUAUGAAGUUAUUGGUCAAGCUACAAAGGGCUCACGGAGGAUACCUAGGCACACAGAGGCGA
RNAcentral lists this unclassified non-coding RNA (685 nucleotides) under uncultured Prochlorococcus sp. RNAcentral's name for it is "partial may contain 16S ribosomal RNA, 16S-23S ribosomal RNA intergenic spacer, and 23S ribosomal RNA". The stretch from base 1 to 96 matches the Rfam family "Bacterial small subunit ribosomal RNA", at positions 1438 to 1533 of the family's 1533-position model. Lineage: Bacteria; Bacillati; Cyanobacteriota; Cyanophyceae; Synechococcales; Prochlorococcaceae. The record is from RNAcentral.